This is a long non-coding RNA of Malaclemys terrapin pileata, 392 nucleotides long. RefSeq lists it as uncharacterized. NCBI's taxonomy places the organism in Eukaryota, Metazoa, Chordata, Testudines, Emydidae. The transcript has 2 exons. The record is from RefSeq and is a predicted model, not a curated record.
GACAGACGCGCCCAUCCCGAGCGCCCACUCAAGCCCAAACCCCUCCGUGGGAUGCUGCGGAAAUGCCCUGGAGCGAGGUGCGCGUCAGAGGAGUCCUAUAGCUUGUGCCACGCACUUCGAAAUGACAACAAUUUUUGGAAAGCCGGAGGAGGCAACGUGCUCUGGAAGAGAUGAGCUACCCUUUUUUCUGCUUUUAAUAGAUGAUGUUUUGGUGGGCUAUAUUUAAGCUCUACUGAGAGGUACAUCAUUUUGCGUAAUAUAAGCAUCAUGAAAUUACAGGAUUCUCCAGGUUCUGCAGAUGUAGCCAUUGCUAUAAAACUACCUAUUAGCCAAUAAACACAGCUAUCCCUAGGGCUUCCCCUACUUCUUAAUAAAUUGGGCAUUCCCUGCAA